CGAUGAUGCCCAGCUUGCUGGGCGGAUUAGUGGCGAACGGGUGAGUAAUACGUGAGUAACCUGCCCUUGACUCUGGGAUAAGCCUGGGAAACUGGGUCUAAUACUGGAUACUACCUCUUACCGCAUGGUGGGUGGUGGAAAGGGUUUUACUGGUUUUGGAUGGGCUCACGGCCUAUCAGCUUGUUGGUGGGGUAAUGGCUCACCAAGGCGACGACGGGUAGCCGGCCUGAGAGGGUGACCGGCCACACUGGGACUGAGACACGGCCCAGACUCCUACGGGAGGCAGCAGUGGGGAAUAUUGCACAAUGGGCGGAAGCCUGAUGCAGCGACGCCGCGUGAGGGAUGACGGCCUUCGGGUUGUAAACCUCUUUCAGUAGGGAAGAAGCGAGAGUGACGGUACCUGCAGAAGAAGCGCCGGCUAACUACGUGCCAGCAGCCGCGGUAAUACGUAGGGCGCAAGCGUUGUCCGGAAUUAUUGGGCGUAAAGAGCUCGUAGGCGGUUUGUCGCGUCUGCUGUGAAAGCCCGGGGCUCAACCCCGGGUCUGCAGUGGGUACGGGCAGACUAGAGUGCAGUAGGGGAGACUGGAAUUCCUGGUGUAGCGGUGAAAUGCGCAGAUAUCAGGAGGAACACCGAUGGCGAAGGCAGGUCUCUGGGCUGUUACUGACGCUGAGGAGCGAAAGCAUGGGGAGCGAACAGGAUUAGAUACCCUGGUAGUCCAUGCCGUAAACGUUGGGCACUAGGUGUGGGGGACAUUCCACG
Molecule: ribosomal RNA, 760 nt
Filed under: Kocuria sp. MJ336
Lineage: Bacteria; Bacillati; Actinomycetota; Actinomycetes; Micrococcales; Micrococcaceae
Description: bacterial SSU rRNA
Rfam family: Bacterial small subunit ribosomal RNA
Source: RNAcentral